AGGUAACACCAAUCUCUUUAUGUGUCAGUAUAUAAUGCUUGCAUCUGUAAUUUCACUCCAUGCAUCUGAAGAAGUGGUUUUUUAACCACGAAAGCUUAUGCCCAAAUAAAUCUGUUAGUCUUUAAGGUGCCACAGAACUCCUUGUAGUGUUUAUGUAUAAUACACA
Molecule: long non-coding RNA, 166 nt
Organism: Chelonia mydas (Green sea turtle)
Lineage: Eukaryota; Metazoa; Chordata; Testudines; Cheloniidae
Exons: 4
Source: RefSeq, a predicted model, not a curated record